CUGCAGAUUAGGGUGACCAGAUGCCCCGAUAUUAGGGACUUUGUCUUACAUAGACACCUAUACCCUCCCCACCCCUGAAAAAAAAGUGUCCCAAUUUUUCAUAUUUGCUAUCUGGUCACCCUAUGUUCUGCAGAGUUAGGC
Long non-coding RNA from Chelonia mydas (Green sea turtle), 141 nucleotides. RefSeq lists it as uncharacterized. The transcript is spliced from 3 exons. Lineage: Eukaryota; Metazoa; Chordata; Testudines; Cheloniidae. The record is from RefSeq and is a predicted model, not a curated record.